CCUACGGGAGGCAGCAGUAAGGAAUAUUGGUCAAUGGAGGCAACUCUGAACCAGCCAUGCCGCGUACAGGAAGAAGGCCCUAUGGGUCGUAAACUGCUUUUGUACCAGAGAAAACCCGAGUACGUGUACUCGGUUGAUAGUAUGGUAAGAAUAAGCAUCGGCUAACUUCGUGCCAGCAGCCGCGGUAAGACGAAGGAUGCAAGCGUUAUCCGGAUUCAUUGGGUUUAAAGGGUGCGUAGGCGGACUGAUAAGUCAGUGGUGAAAUCUCUCAGCUUAACUGAGAAACUGCCAUUGAUACUGUUAGUCUAGAGUAUAGAUGACGUUGGCGGAAUAUGACAUGUAGUGGUGAAAUACUUAGAUAUGUCAUAGAACACCGAUUGCGAAGGCAGCUAACGAAACUAUAACUGACGCUGAGGCACGAAAGUGCGGGGAUCAAACAGGAUUAGAUACCCUGGUAGUCCGCACCGUAAACGAUGAUUACUCGUUGUUGGCAAAUAUGACCGUCAGCGACCAAGCGAAAGCGAUAAGUAAUCCACCUGGGGAGUACGCCGGCAACGGUGAAACUUAANAGAUGACGNNGAGAGNGCGAGAGACACGAGGAGAGG
Molecule: ribosomal RNA, 605 nt
Filed under: uncultured bacterium
Lineage: Bacteria
Description: bacterial SSU rRNA
Rfam family: Bacterial small subunit ribosomal RNA
Source: RNAcentral